Molecule: long non-coding RNA, 504 nt
Filed under: Glycine max (soybean)
Lineage: Eukaryota; Viridiplantae; Streptophyta; Magnoliopsida; Fabales; Fabaceae
Description: long non-coding RNA (GMAX_LNC000789)
Source: RNAcentral
UGAACCCUAACAUAACAUGCUGCUUUCAUAUGUCUCGUCAUGAACAGGGAGCAUCUCGCCGUUAGCAUUGGCGAGAUUGCCCUAGGUGUAUGUCGCCAUUAUUGCUGGCGGCAUCAGUGCCUACUCAGCAUGUAUUUCGCCAAGAAGAAUGGUGGCAUGAGUCCUACGUGGAGCACAAGGGGAAUCGCUUCUCCUACUGGCAGCAUCCCUGAACUCGCUAAUGCAUCUGGCGGCAUCAAAUUAGAAACAGACCCCCCCUGCAAUUUCUUUCAAAAGGGACCAUGAUGCGUAAAUUGUUUAUAAAUGUGUCCCUCUACAGUAAAUUUGCCCACUAAAUGAUCUUUCAAGUCAUGCACUUCCCUUGCAUAAAAACACAUUAAACAAGGGCAUAUCACUUUACUUGGGUCUUCUGCAUGAUCAACAACAAACCUAAUGAACUCAUCCACUCCAUCUUCAUAUUCUUUUGAUAAGUGGUUGACAACCAUCCAUAUUUGAUCCAUAUUU